This 374-nucleotide ribosomal RNA is filed under the name uncultured organism. RNAcentral describes it as "bacterial SSU rRNA". It matches the Rfam family "Bacterial small subunit ribosomal RNA", at positions 526 to 896 of the family's 1533-position model. The record is from RNAcentral.
CGUAGGGUGCGAGCGUUAAUCGGAAUUACUGGGCGUAAAGCGUGCGCAGGCGGUUUGUUAAGAUAGGCGUGAAAUCCCCGGGCUCAACCUGGGAACUGCGCUUAUGACUGGCAAGCUAGAGUACGGCAGAGGGGGGUGGAAUUCCACGUGUAGCAGUGAAAUGCGUAGAGAUGUGGAGGAACACCAAUGGCGAAGGCAGCCCCCUGGGUCGAUACUGACGCUCGAUGCACGAAAGCGUGGGUAGCAAACAGGAUUAGAUACCCUGGUAGUCCACGCCCUAAACGAUGUCAACUAGGUGUUGGGAGGGUAAAACCUUUUAGUACCGGAGCUAACGCGUGAAGUUGACCGCCGUGGGGAGUACGGCCGCAAGGUUA